RNAcentral lists this unclassified non-coding RNA (1000 nucleotides) under Hevea brasiliensis (rubber tree). Lineage: Eukaryota; Viridiplantae; Streptophyta; Magnoliopsida; Malpighiales; Euphorbiaceae. The record is from RNAcentral.
AGAGUUUACCGUUCAAAAUGGUUCUCCCAAAUUUAGUUCGAGGCCUAUAAAUAUAUCUCAAAGAGCCUCGCGAGCUCUUCACAUUACCAUUCCCUCCCUUUUUGUGUCUUCACAAAUCCACCAUUCUUCUACCUUUGACAAUUUUGUAAGACCAAGUUACCAGAAAUCCAUGGGGACUGUUGUCGAGUCUGCUAACCAGGGAGCAGUAAGCCUGCCAACCAACAAGAAGGUCACUGUUAUCUUUGUUCUAGGUGGCCCAGGCAGUGGUAAGGGCACCCAAUGUGCUAAUAUUGUUGAACACUUUGGGUACACCCAUCUAAGUGCUGGUGAUCUUCUCCGAGCAGAAAUAAAAUCUGGUUCCGAGAAUGGGACGAUGAUUUCGAACAUGAUUAAAGAAGGGAAGAUUGUUCCGUCAGAGGUAACAGUUAAGCUUCUCCAACGAGCAAUUCAGGAAAAUGGCAAUGACAAAUUUCUUAUUGAUGGUUUCCCCCGGAAUGAGGAGAAUCGUGCUGCUUUUGAGUUGGUCACUGGAAUUGAGCCUGAGUUUGUGCUCUUCUUUGAUUGUCCUGAAGCAGAGAUGGAGAAACGCCUUUUAGGUCGGAACCAGGGAAGAGAAGAUGAUAAUAUUGAAACAAUAAAGAAGCGAUUCAACGUUUACAUGGAAUCUAGUCUACCUGUUAUUGAACAUUACAACUCCAAGGGGAAGGUUCGAAAGAUUGAUGCUGUAAAGCCUGUUGGAGAAGUAUUUGAAGCCGUUAAAGCUGUUUUUGCCCCAUCUAAUGAGAAGGUUGCUGCCUGAGAAUUCAUUAGUAGAGAGGCAUCACAAUUAAUUGUUAUGGUUGUUUGAAUAUUGGUGCUUGCUGUGUGUCUUCAGCAGCAAAACGAUGCAUCUUUAUAGAUUCUACUUUUUGAUACGAGUUUAUGCAAAAUUUUCUUUGUUUUUCCUCUAAUUUUUUUGUUUCUUUUGAAGGAAACACAAUGUUGUAUUAUUAGUUUAUCG